Molecule: long non-coding RNA, 534 nt
Filed under: Homo sapiens (human)
Lineage: Eukaryota; Metazoa; Chordata; Mammalia; Primates; Hominidae
Description: non-protein coding lnc-FLRT2-5:2
Source: RNAcentral
CACUCAGAGCAGAGGUAAGGGGAGAGGGAGGGAGAUGCUUGUAAAUGAAGGCAAAACCACAUAUUAUAGAGGCUCACAAUCAAUUAAAUAUUUGAGUUUUAUAUUCAAAAUGUAGCCUCACAACUCUUCUGUGAGAUAGAUUGUACAAUUAGACCCAGAUUAGAGAGAGGAAAGCAAAGCUUUGAGAAGUUCUGUAAGCCCAGUGUCUCAUAUUUAGCAAGAAUUGGAGCCAGACAUCCACCCAAGUCUAUCUGCCACCAAAUCCCAUAAUCCAUUUUAAAUGACUUUGUAAUCAAAUAUUGUAUAACCAUAGAUCUAUGAAUAUUAAUUAGAGACUGAAUUAACAACUUCAGACUUUCAAACAAAAAUUAAAUUCUUCUUCCAUAAAAAUUGUCUCUAUAGUAUUUUGAGAUUAUAUUUUAAAAGUUUUAAAAACUGAGCUUUGAUCUUUUAUUUCUUUUGAUAUUUCUGCUAUAUAUAUGUGUAUAUAUAUGUGUGUAUAUAUAUGUGUGUGUGUGUAUAUAUAUAUAUACU